Marmota monax (woodchuck) is the source of this 1029-nucleotide long non-coding RNA. RefSeq lists it as uncharacterized. Lineage: Eukaryota; Metazoa; Chordata; Mammalia; Rodentia; Sciuridae. The record is from RefSeq and is a predicted model, not a curated record. The transcript has 2 exons.
CUGCCAUCAGCUCAUUGCUAUUAACAUUCUUGCUGGGUAAGCAUUCAGCACCCAGAAAUACCCCAGGAGAUCUAACUCAGAUCUGUUCCUGGUUACUGAAGAGAGUUCACUCCGAACAAGGAUACAGAGGGGCUGUUUUCUCACGGGGUCCAUUUCCAUACUCCGUGCUGGGUGAGCUGAGAACAGCGAGUAUGGAAAUUUUCACCAAAAGAUCUGAGUUGAGGUGGUCUCCUUUCCAAGAGGCCUUGAAGUGGUCUGCUUUAGGGCUAGGGUCCUGCAAUUCAGCUGGCCUUUGCAUCUGAGGAUCAACAAGACACGGGAACAGAGCCAGGGUCUUGCUGGACGGAGAAGAGCAAUCCUGGACCAGCCAAUGGGAGGGUGCCGAAUGUCAGGGGGCAUCAGUCUCAGGGAUGAUGAGCUCCUCCUGAAAUUCUGCGUUCUGGCCAUCUUGCUAGCCUCAGCCUAGCCCUGGCCUUGAGGACAAGCCCAGCACAGAGAGGUCAGCAGGAUAAAGGAAUGAACAAAUGAAGCGAUCAGGGAAGAACAGUCAUUGGAAAUCUCCAAAUACCGGGUGUGUUCACAACCUUCCAACAGCCUGUUUCACAGAAGUUCACGAUGAGCAGAUGAACGGGCCUCAGAACUGUGCUUGUCUUAGCUCAGGCUGCUACAGCAACAGAAGAUAGGCCGGCAGCUUAAAGAAGACUGAUCCAUAAUAUGCUGGGGGUGGGGAUGGGAGGAUUAAAUGAACUCUAGAUAGGGCAAAGGGGAAAAGAGCAAAGACAGGAAGGAGGGAGAACAGGGGUAGGAAAGAUGGUGGAAUGCGAUGGUCAUCAUUACCCUAAGUAAAUGUAAGAAAACACGAAGGAUGUGACCCUACUUUGUGGACAACCAGAGAGCUGAAAAAUUGCGCUCUACACGUGUAAUUUGAAUUGUAAUGCAUUCUGUUGUCAUAUACAAAAUAUCAAAAAAAUUUUUAAAAAGAACUGUGGCACCUAAAAAUAAAAAAUAAAACAUUUUGAUUUCUCACAA